Ornithodoros turicata is the source of this 361-nucleotide long non-coding RNA. RefSeq lists it as uncharacterized. The transcript has 3 exons. The record is from RefSeq and is a predicted model, not a curated record. Lineage: Eukaryota; Metazoa; Arthropoda; Arachnida; Ixodida; Argasidae.
GCGAGCGUUCCAACUGAGCGAUCUCUAUAGCGGCAAUGUCCGCAGGCAAAGGGACGGCUGGUUCGGCCUGAUCAUCGCGUUUUAAUGCUCUGCCCAUUGUUCUCGGUACGGCUAUUUUCUAGUCUCAGAGGCGACCAGAACAGGGAGCGUCGGAACUCAUCCUGUAGCAACUGGCACACAAAGCUGGCUGACAUGAGUUCCCAAGUAUAGGGGACAGAGAGACAACGCGCUAAACGCCCUGAGAGCAGUGAAGGAGGAACACAAGGAAAACACAGUCCUUCUGUGUUUCAAAUGUUGUCUACACCCAUAAAUAAGACUAAGAAAGGAGGAGCACACCCCAAUAAACUAUUUUGACUUCGUG